Molecule: ribosomal RNA, 244 nt
Filed under: uncultured bacterium
Lineage: Bacteria
Description: partial 16S ribosomal RNA
Rfam family: Bacterial small subunit ribosomal RNA
Source: RNAcentral
UAGGCCUACGGGGCGCAGCAGUGGGGAAUAUUGCACAAUGGGGGAAACCCUGAUGCAGCGACGCCGCGUGAGUGAAGAAGUAAUUCGUUAUGUAAAGCUCGAUCAGCAGGGAAGAAAAUGACGGUACCUGAGUAAGAAGCCCCGGCUAACUACGUGCCAGCAGCCGCGGAAAUACGUAGGGGGGAAGCGUUAUCCGGAUUUACUGGGGGUAAAGGGAGCGUAGACGGGAGGGCAAGACUGGAGU